AUUUUGGGCAAUGGGCGAAAGCCUGACCCAGCAACGCCGCGUGAGGGAUGAAGUAUUUCGGUAUGUAAACCUCGAAAGAAUGGGAAGAAUAAAUGACGGUACCAUUUAUAAGCUCCGGCUAACUACGUGCCAGCAGCCGCGGUAAUACGUAGGGAGCAAGCGUUGUUCGGCUUUACUGGGCGUAAAGGGCGCGUAGGCGGCGCGGUAAGUCACUUGUGAAAUCUCUGAGCUUAACUCAGAACGGCCAAGUGAUACUGCUGUGCUAGAGGGCGAAAGAGGCAACCGGAAUGCUUGGUGUAGCGGUGAAAUGCGUAGAUAUCAAGAGGAACACCUGAGGCGAAGGCGGGUUGCUGGGCCGACACUGACGCUGAUGCGCGAAAGCCAGGGGAGCAAACG
Molecule: ribosomal RNA, 396 nt
Filed under: uncultured bacterium
Lineage: Bacteria
Description: bacterial SSU rRNA
Rfam family: Bacterial small subunit ribosomal RNA
Source: RNAcentral